AAUGAACGUUGGCGGCGUGGAUUAGGCAUGCAAGUCGCACGCGACAUGUAGCAAUACAUGUUGAGUGGCGUAAGGGAGAGUAAUGCAUGGUUAGCUACCCUCGGGACUGGGAUAGCGGCGGGAAACUGCCGGUAAUACCAGAUAACAUCUUCGGAUCAAACGUGUGAAUCGGCCCGGGGAGGCGACCAUGUCCUAUCAGCUAGUUGGCGGUGUAACGGACCACCAAGGCGAAGACGGGUAUGGGGCGUGAGAGCGUGCCCCCACUCACUGGGACUGAGACACUGCCCAGACACCUACGGGUGGCUGCAGUCGAGAAUCUUCGGCAAUGGGCGCAAGCCUGACCGAGCGACGCCGCGUGCGGGAUGAAGGCCUUCGGGUUGUAAACCGCUGUCGUAGGGGAGGAAGAUCCUGUGAAGAACAGGGUUUGACCGAUCCUAGGAGGAAGGGCCGGCUAAUCUCGUGCCAGCAGCCGCGGUAAUACGAGAGGCCCAAACGUUAUUCGGAAUUACUGGGCUUAAAGAGUUCGUAGGCGGCGCAGAAAGUAGGGUGUGAAAGCCCUCGGCUCAACCGAGGAAUUGCGCUCUAAACUGCUGUGCUUGAGGGACCUAGAGGUGAGCGGAACUGAUGGUGGAGCGGUGAAAUGCGUUGAUAUCAUC
This 656-nucleotide ribosomal RNA is filed under the name uncultured Planctomycetales bacterium. RNAcentral describes it as "bacterial SSU rRNA". It matches the Rfam family "Bacterial small subunit ribosomal RNA", at positions 28 to 701 of the family's 1533-position model. The record is from RNAcentral. Lineage: Bacteria; Pseudomonadati; Planctomycetota; Planctomycetia; Planctomycetales.